Molecule: small nuclear RNA, 145 nt
Organism: Mirounga angustirostris (Northern elephant seal)
Lineage: Eukaryota; Metazoa; Chordata; Mammalia; Carnivora; Phocidae
Product: U4 spliceosomal RNA
Exons: 1
Source: RefSeq, a predicted model, not a curated record
AGCUUUGCGCAGUGGCAGUAUCGUAGCCAAUGAGGUUUAUCCGAGGCGCGAUUAUUGCUAAUUGAAAAGAGAAGAUCCAUAAAGUGAUUUGAUUUUAAUAAUACUACAUAUCAUGACUUAUGUAUUGUUGAUAACAAGUAAUUUG